GUGAACGCUGGCGGUAGGCCUAACACAUGCCAGUCGAACGGCAGCACAGUAAGAGCUUGCUCUUACGGGUGGCGAGUGGCGGACGGGUGAGGAAUACAUCGGAAUCUACUUUUUCGUGGGGGAUAACGUAGGGAAACUUACGCUAAUACAGCAUACGACCUACGGGUGAAAGCAGGGGAUCUUCGGACCUUGCGCGAUUGAAUGAGCCGAUGUCGGAUUAGCUAGUUGGCGGGGUAAAGGCCCACCAAGGCGACGAUCCGUAGCUGGUCUGAGAGGAUGAUCAGCCACACUGGAACUGAGACACGGUCCAGACUCCUACGGGAGGCAGCAGUGGGGAUUAUUGGACAAUGGGCGCAAGCCUGAUCCAGCCAUACCGCGUGGGUGAAGAAGGCCUUCGGGUUGUAAAGCCCUUUUGUUGGGAAAGAAAAGCAGCAGGUUAAUACCCCGCUGUUCUGACGGUACCCAAAGAAUAAGCACCGGCUAACUUCGUG
This 491-nucleotide ribosomal RNA is filed under the name uncultured bacterium. Its description in RNAcentral is "partial 16S ribosomal RNA". It matches the Rfam family "Bacterial small subunit ribosomal RNA", at positions 29 to 507 of the family's 1533-position model. The record is from RNAcentral.